This 468-nucleotide ribosomal RNA is filed under the name uncultured bacterium. RNAcentral describes it as "partial 16S ribosomal RNA". It matches the Rfam family "Bacterial small subunit ribosomal RNA", at positions 28 to 507 of the family's 1533-position model. The record is from RNAcentral.
GACGAACGCUGGCGGCGUGCUUAACACAUGCAAGUCGAACGGAAAGGCCCUGCUUUUGUGGGGUGCUCGAGUGGCGAACGGGUGAGUAACACGUGAGUAACCUGCCCUUGACUUUGGGAUAACUUCAGGAAACUGGGGCGAAUACCGGAUAGGAGCUCCUGCUGCAUGGUGGUGGUUGGAAAGUUUCGGCGGUAGGGGAUGGACUCGCGGCUUAUCAGCUUGUUGGUGGGGUAGUGGCUUACCAAGGCUUUGACGGGUAGCCGGCGUGAGAGGGUGACCGGCGACAUGGCGACUGAGAUACGGCGCAGACGCCUACGGGAGGCAGCAGUGGGGAAUAUGACACAGUGGGGGGGAGCCUGAUGCAGCAGCGCCGCGUUCGGAAUGACGGCCUUUGGGUUGUAAACCGCUUUCGCCUGUGACGAAGCGUGAGUGACGGUAAUGAGUAAAGAAGCACCGGCUAACUACGUG